RNAcentral lists this ribosomal RNA (253 nucleotides) under uncultured bacterium. Its description in RNAcentral is "partial 16S ribosomal RNA". It matches the Rfam family "Bacterial small subunit ribosomal RNA", at positions 524 to 776 of the family's 1533-position model. The record is from RNAcentral.
UACGUAGGGGGCAAGCGUUGUCCGGAUUUAUUGGGCGUAAAGAGCGUGUAGGCGGCCAGACAGGCCCGUUGUGAAAACUUGAGGCUCAACCUCGAGACGCCGAUGGAAACCGUCUGGCUAGAGUCCGGAAGAGGAGAGUGGAAUUCCUGGUGUAGCGGUGAAAUGCGCAGAUAUCGGGAGGAACACCCGUAGCGAAGGCGGCUCACUGGCCCGGAACUGACGCUGAGGUGCGAAAGCGUGGGGGGCAAACAGG